AAUUAUUGAUACCAGGUUCAGGUUUAGCAGGGACUUCCAUACUGAUCAGUAGGAUACACCCUUUGCUUGAAACGACACAUGCACAAACCUGCUCUUUCAGCGUGCAUCCUCUAGGUGUCUCUUUUUGUAUUUGUUGCAGAUUCUCUCUCCUCUACCGUGAAAAUAAGAGGUUGUUGUUGAACUAUGGCUCCCUAUGUUACCUUGGUGCAGAAUCUUCAUACUGCCAUUACAAACUCUAUCAUAAAAGUUCGUUGUGUUCGUGUCUUUGGAGGUCUACAUGAUGACAACAAAGAUAUCAAUUCAGAAUGUGUUCUUCAUGAUUCAAAGAUAUUAUUGGUGUAAUUACUCCCCCUGGAAGAGAUUUGAAGCAGAAUAGAUAUAGGUUGAUUGAGGUUGAAAUAAGUGAUGAGUUAUAUUGUGUACAAUUUGGGAUUCCAAUGUGGAUUCUUAUUUGUCUCAAUUGAAAAACGCUGAAGGGACUGUUCCUAUAAUCAUUGUUCAGUUUUGUUAGCCUAAUGUUUUCAAAGGUGAGAUUGGUGUGUAUCCACUCAUUAUCAAGCAUCCAAGAUUCUAAUCAAUGCUGAUGUAGCUGAAGUCAAGGAGUUUAGGAACAGGUCUGAUGCUUUUGAUCUUUGAGACUAUACUGAUAUACCUUCAUUGCACAAGGGUCAGUGGAUCAAACUGGAGUCAAGCAUAGUAGGGAGUUUGAUGAUUUUGCUGUCAAGUCUAUUAGUGAUGUUGUUUGUUUGGAGGAUGGCUGCUACUGGAUUUUUGGCAAAGUUGAAUCAAUUGAGUCUCAUUUUGGAGAGUAGUAUUAUCUAGCAUGUAAAACCGUGUUAAGAAAGUUAGAGUGUUGGAUGACAAGAAGUUUAGGUGUGAUUUCUGCAUCAAGAAUUUUGAUGUUGCCGUGAAAAGGUUCAGGUUUGUUGUCAACGUUGUUGAUGAUACAAGCAAUGCAUCCCUUUUGUUGUGGGAUAGAGAAGUUGUUCAACUUAUUGGAAAAAGGGUGAUUGAUUUGAUUGGAAGUAAUAUGGAAAAUUCUGCUAUGGAAUAUAUUCCUAGGAAAAUUGAGGAGCUGCUUUUGGGUCAAGAGGUGUUGUUUAAGGUUCAAAGCAAGAAUAGCAAGGAUGAUUAUCGCAGAUAUCCAUAUUAUGUUAACAAAGUUUGCAAUAACCUAGAAAUUGUUGAGAAGCAUGUUCCUCUGAACAUUGGAUCACAAGUUCUGAAUUCUAAUGUGAAGUUGUCUGAUUUACUCUUUGGUGAUGAUAUUGUAGAGGUAUUUUUUCAAAUAUUAAGUUGACCUUUUCUUACAUUUUGAUUU
Long non-coding RNA from Salvia splendens (bonfire salvia), 1321 nucleotides. RefSeq lists it as uncharacterized. The record is from RefSeq and is a predicted model, not a curated record. NCBI's taxonomy places the organism in Eukaryota, Viridiplantae, Streptophyta, Magnoliopsida, Lamiales, Lamiaceae. The transcript has 9 exons.